Molecule: ribosomal RNA, 487 nt
Filed under: Rhizophagus intraradices
Lineage: Eukaryota; Fungi; Glomeromycota; Glomeromycetes; Glomerales; Glomeraceae
Description: LSU rRNA
Rfam family: Eukaryotic large subunit ribosomal RNA
Source: RNAcentral
GGGAGGUAAAUUUCUCCUAAGGCUAAAUAACGGCGAGAGACCGAUAGCGAACAAGUACCGUGAGGGAAAGAUGAAAAGAACUUUGAAAAGAGAGUUAAACAGUACGUGAAAUUGUUGAAAGGGAAACGAUUGAAGCCAGUCGUACCUUCGGGUAAUCAGCCUUUCGGGUGCGAUUCUGUGGAGUGUGAGGAGCUUAACACCUUCAUGCUUUGCAUAUUUGUGCUCUUGGGUGUACUUGCCCGUGUGGUUGGUUAACAUCAAUUUUGGUUAUCAUAAAAUGAUUGGAGGAAUGUAGCUUCGAUCUCGUAUUGAAGUGUUAUAGCCUUCGGUAGAUGUGAUGAUCGAGAUUGAGGAUUGCAACGGAUACCCUUCGGGGCUACCUGUCUGGUCUCUGAUCGUUGCUCUGGUGCCGAAAGCUUGCUUACGGUUAUCAAAGUCGAUGGUCAAUAGGUUAGAACGGGUUAAAUUCGUUAAGGAUGUUGACGUA